This 497-nucleotide ribosomal RNA is filed under the name uncultured bacterium. Its description in RNAcentral is "partial 16S ribosomal RNA". It matches the Rfam family "Bacterial small subunit ribosomal RNA", at positions 28 to 507 of the family's 1533-position model. The record is from RNAcentral.
GAUGAACGCUGGCGGCGUGCCUAAUACAUGCAAGUCGAGCGAACAGACGAGGAGCUUGCUCCUCUGACGUUAGCGGCGGACGGGGGAGUAACACGUGGAUAACCUACCUAUAAGACUGGGAUAACUUCGGGAAACCGGAGCUAAUACCGGAUAAUAUAUUGAACCGCAUGGUUCAAUAGUGAAAGACGGUUUUGCUGUCACUUAUAGAUGGAUCCGCGCCGCAUUAGCUAGUUGGUAAGGUAACGGCUUACCAAGGCGACGAUGCGUAGCCGACCUGAGAGGGUGAUCGGCCACACUGGAACUGAGACACGGUCCAGACUCCUACGGGAGGCAGCAGUAGGGAAUCUUCCGCAAUGGGCGAAAGCCUGACGGAGCAACGCCGCGUGAGUGAUGAAGGUCUUCGGAUCGUAGAACUCUGUUAUUAGGGAAGAACAAAUGUGUAAGUAACUAUGCACGUCUUGACGGUACCUAAUCAGAAAGCCACGGCUAACUACGUG